Molecule: non-coding RNA, 103 nt
Organism: Acanthosepion pharaonis
Lineage: Eukaryota; Metazoa; Mollusca; Cephalopoda; Sepiida; Sepiidae
Source: the annotation of a GenBank genome assembly
UCAAAUUGAAACACCAGUUCCUGUACAAUCACUGAAGUUAAGCAACAUUGAGACUUGUCAGUACUUUGAUGGAUGACCGCAUGGGAAUGCCAGAUGCUGUAAG